Molecule: transfer RNA, 77 nt
Filed under: Kiritimatiella glycovorans
Lineage: Bacteria; Pseudomonadati; Kiritimatiellota; Kiritimatiellia; Kiritimatiellales; Kiritimatiellaceae
Description: tRNA-Trp
Rfam family: tRNA
About the family: Transfer RNA (tRNA) molecules are approximately 80 nucleotides in length. Their secondary structure includes four short double-helical elements and three loops (D, anti-codon, and T loops).
Source: RNAcentral
AGGCCAGUAGCUCAAUUCGGCAGAGCACCGGUCUCCAAAACCGGUUGUUGGGGGUUCGAGUCCCUCCUGGCCUGCCA